CUCACUUAUUCAUUUUCUUGGCCCUCAUUCACCGUCUUCUCUUUUUCUCGCCCACCAUACCGACCAUCUGUUGGCAUACGCCACUUCCGAGGCAGGUGCCUUUGUCCGGGAGAUGAGGGCGAAACGUAGGUGUUGCUCACC
Molecule: non-coding RNA, 141 nt
Organism: Caenorhabditis elegans
Lineage: Eukaryota; Metazoa; Nematoda; Chromadorea; Rhabditida; Rhabditidae
Source: Ensembl